This 535-nucleotide ribosomal RNA is filed under the name uncultured bacterium. RNAcentral describes it as "bacterial SSU rRNA". It matches the Rfam family "Bacterial small subunit ribosomal RNA", at positions 777 to 1304 of the family's 1533-position model. The record is from RNAcentral.
AAUAGAUACCCAGGUAGUCCACGCCGUAAACGGUGGGCACUAGGUGUGGGCGACAUUCCACGUCGUCCGUGCCGCAGCUAACGCAUUAAGUGCCCCGCCUGGGGAGUACGGCCGCAAGGCUAAAACUCAAAGGAAUUGACGGGGGCCCGCACAAGCGGCGGAGCAUGUGGCUUAAUUCGACGCAACGCGAAGAACCUUACCAAGGCUUGACAUACACCGGAAACGUCCAGAGAUGGGCGCCCCCUUGUGGUCGGUGUACAGGUGGUGCAUGGCUGUCGUCAGCUCGUGUCGUGAGACGUUGGGUUAAGUCCCGCAACGAGCGCAACCCUUGUCCCGUGUUGCCAGCAGGCCCUUGUGGUGCUGGGGACUCACGGGAGACCGCCGGGGUCAACUCGGAGGAAGGUGGGGACGACGUCAAGUCAUCAUGCCCCUUAUGUCUUGGGCUGCACACGUGCUACAAUGGCCGGUACAAUGAGCUGCGAUACCGCGAGGUGGAGCGAAUCUCAAAAAAGCCGGUCUCAGUUCGGAUUGGGGU